AUACGUAGGUGGCGAGCGUUGUCCGGAAUUACUGGGCGUAAAGGGUGCGUAGGCGGCAGAUAAAGUCCGAUGUGAAAACCCAGGGCUCAACCAUGGGAUUGCAUCGGAAACUAACCUGCUAGAGUACAGGAGAGGGGAGCGGAAUUCCUAGUGUAGCGGUGAAAUGCGUAGAUAUUAGGAAGAACACCAGUGGCGAAGGCGGCUUUCUGGACUGAUACUGACGCUGAUGCACGAAAGCGUGGGGAGCGAACAGGAUUAGAUACCCUGGUAGUCCACGCCGUAAACGAUGAGUGCCAGGUGUAGGGGGUAUCGACACCUUCUGUGCCGGAGCAAACGCAAUAAGUAUUCCGCCUGGGGAGUACGGUCGCAAGAUUAAA
RNAcentral lists this ribosomal RNA (377 nucleotides) under uncultured bacterium. RNAcentral's name for it is "bacterial SSU rRNA". It matches the Rfam family "Bacterial small subunit ribosomal RNA", at positions 523 to 898 of the family's 1533-position model. The record is from RNAcentral.